Molecule: non-coding RNA, 96 nt
Organism: Collariella sp. IMI 366227
Lineage: Eukaryota; Fungi; Ascomycota; Sordariomycetes; Sordariales; Chaetomiaceae
Source: the annotation of a GenBank genome assembly
UCGGGUAUGGUGUAGCGGUAACAUCGUUGACUCUCACUUCUUCAGGAGUGACUGCUUUCCUCUCAACAGCCCCGGGUUCGACUCCCGGUAUCCGAG